Molecule: long non-coding RNA, 269 nt
Filed under: Anser brachyrhynchus (Pink-footed goose)
Lineage: Eukaryota; Metazoa; Chordata; Aves; Anseriformes; Anatidae
Description: lncRNA (ENSABRG00000006838.1)
Source: RNAcentral
UGACUGGGCCAAUACUACGAUAAGAUGUGAUGCAUCUGAUUGAACGCAGAUUCCCCCAGAACCAAGACUGAUCCUUCUGCAGUGCAGAGAAAACUGUGAAGUUGAUGAUGGAUUGAAACAUCACUAGCAAGAAGAUAAGACCAAAGACAACGAGCUCCUGCCAAUUCUCCUGCAGGAUUCCUCUAGCCACAUAGUAUACACAGAACACUGGGAAGGAGAAGGGAAAGGUAAUAAUGAAAACUGAAAAUGAUUAGCAAACUAGAAGUGAA